RNAcentral lists this long non-coding RNA (1057 nucleotides) under Vombatus ursinus (common wombat). RNAcentral's name for it is "lncRNA (ENSVURG00010014524.1)". Lineage: Eukaryota; Metazoa; Chordata; Mammalia; Diprotodontia; Vombatidae. The record is from RNAcentral.
AAGGGGAGUAGCUUCUGGGGUCUGACUUCUUUCAAACAGGACCAGGCCCCAGGAGAAAGGGCCCAUCAAGUCCCCUUGGUGUAAUGGAUAGAACAUAGAUUUGGAGUCAGGAGGACCUGAGUUCAACUCUGACCUCAAAUACUUACUAGCUGGGUGACCAUGGACUUCAGGUUGUUUAUUUAUAAAAUUAGGGGGUUGGGCUCAAUGACUUUCAAAGUCUACAAUCUAAACCAUGAUCCCAGAAGUCAUUACUGCCAGCAAUAGGAGUCCUCACCAGACCUGGGAGCCUGAAAUCCCCUUUAUACCUGAAGAGUGCUUCAGUGCAAAAUGCCAUGCGUUGCCUCAGAAACACUCCAAAUGCCACUUCCCAGACUGCAGUCCUGGCCAGCCCCGAUGCUUUCAGAAACAGAAGCAAGAUGAACCCCACUGAAGGGCUGGCAGCCUGUCCUCUACACAUGAGUCUCUAAAGGUCUGAGUUAAAGUCAAACUGCCCCCACCCUUCAGGGUAACUUCAGGAGAACUGGGAAGAAGGUGGAGCCAGCACACAUCGGAGGUGGCAUGAAAGGGUGAGGAACAGCAAAGGCCCCGAAUGACAGGCUCAGGAUCCGAAGCGAGCAGCAGCUAGAGGCAAUGGGCCACAAUUAACAGGAUGACUGUGUACCAGCGAGGGCCUCCUGGAGUCCUCAGAAAGAUCUGGGGUUUCCUCAGUGAGGUGGAGGGAAAACUUCUGUGAGUGGGAGGAGUUGCCUGUAGCAAAUAGAAAUUAAAUGACUUGCCCAGGGUCACAUAAACAGCAAAGAUGGUAUUUGAACCCUGUUUUUCUUGACUCCAAACUCAACCCUAUACCAUUAUCCCACGGUACCUCCUGAAGUCUUAUAUUUGAGUAAUGUUGAAGUACACGUUGAAAGGUGGAGGAUGAGGCUAGAAAGACAUUCAUGGAAAAAGAUCUGGGGAUUUGGGUGGACCACAAGCUCACUGAAUUAAGAUUAUGACAUGGCAGCCCCCCAAAAGUAAUGGGAUAUUGGAUGGCCAUGGGAAAGGAGGGAAAAGGGGGAAG